This 446-nucleotide ribosomal RNA is filed under the name uncultured bacterium. RNAcentral describes it as "partial 16S ribosomal RNA". It matches the Rfam family "Bacterial small subunit ribosomal RNA", at positions 338 to 795 of the family's 1533-position model. The record is from RNAcentral.
CCUACGGGCGGCAGCAGUAGGGAAUCUUCGGCAAUGGGGGGAACCCUGACCGAGCAACGCCGCGUGAACGAAGAAGUUAUUCGUAAUGUAAAGUUCUUUUAACAGGGAAGAAAGAGAAAUUUGACGGUACCUGAAGAAUAAGCUCCGGCUAACUACGUGCCAGCAGCCGCGGUAAUACGUAGGGAGCGAGCGUUAUCCGGAAUUAUUGGGCGAAAAGGGUGCGUAGAUGGCAUAGUAAGUCUUUUGUAAAAAUGCUGGGCUCAACCCAGUAGGGCAAAAGAUACUGCAAAGCUAGAGUAUGACAGAGGCAAGUGGAACUACAUGUGUAGCGGUAAAAUGCGUAAAUAUAUGUAAGAACACCAGUGGUGAAGGCGGCUUGCUGGGUCGAUACUGACAUUGAGGCACGAAAGCGUGGGGAGCAAACAGGAUUAGAUACCCGAGUAGUC